RNAcentral lists this small RNA (5255 nucleotides) under Pongo abelii (Sumatran orangutan). RNAcentral describes it as "retained intron". Lineage: Eukaryota; Metazoa; Chordata; Mammalia; Primates; Hominidae. The record is from RNAcentral.
GCCUCCACGUCUCAUGCUGCAGGGAAGUUGGGAAUCCAUCAAGGAUGCAGACACGUAGCUUCAUGUUACCAUCCUCUUCUCUCUUGCUCCUGGUGGACCUGGCUGAUGCAUCACAGAGCUCAUUCCUGCAAGUCUGGGCUCAGCCUCAGAUCCUCAUGCCAGCACCAGGCAGCCAAUACCAAUAGAAUUGUUAGGUGAGAUGAAACCUGUUUGCCACUCAUAGAUGAGAAAAGCUCAUCUGGCUCCUUUAGCAGAUGUUUGUUUCUUGCAGCCCCAAGACUAGCACCUACCAACUCCUCAGUCCUGGGGGCGGACUUGCCAUCAAGCAUGAAAGAAAAAGCCAAGGUGAGUGGGACUGCCUUCCAAGCUAUUGCCUGUGGGAUUUAAGGUGCCUGGUAGGGGACAGUCUUCCAUGUCAGAGAAGGAUAGGGUUGUGAGUAAUUGCCCCACCUGGAUUCAGAGCUCAACCUGUGUCGCCAGUUGUGGGAUCUUAGUCCCUUCACCUCUCUGGGCCUCAGUUUACUUUUCUAUAAGAUGAGGAUGAUGCCUGCUGCAGUGGGCCACUGGGCACAUUCUACACCUGGGGUAGGUGAUUUCUUUCCUCUUUCAUGCCUGCAUUCACCUGUUCACUCAACAGAUCUUGACUAAUACCCGUUAUGUUUCAGGCACUGUGCUAGGUGUGGAGGCACCGUAGUGAUCAAGACAUCUGUGGUUCUGAAACUCUAAAAGCAUUUUCCAAGCUGGAAACUGCUCAAAAAACAAGGUGUCAUUUUCUAAUAAUCCAGAAAGCAGAGUUAGAUACAUACAUGUAUAAAGAAUUGUGCCUCUGCAAUUGCCUGGAGCAUUAGCAACAAUGUCUCAAAGUAAUUAUGAAGUAAUGAUAAGAUCAACAACAAACUGCUACUUACCACUUAGUAAAUAACUACCAUGUCCCAAGAACUGGGAUUCUGUUUUCUCAACACCUGGUGAGAGGAGGUGCUGUUUUUAACCUCACUUUAAAGAUUGGGAAACAGAUUGAAGGGGUAGUUUACCCAAACUCACACAGCUAAGAAGUGGUAAGAUUGGGUUCAGAUGCAAGUGGCCUGUGCUCUUAGUUCACCAUGCUAUACCAGAUGUGUCUGUCACUCUUGUUCUCUGUAGGCAGAGACAGAGAAAGCUGGCAAGACUGGGAACUCCGUGCCACAUCCUGCCACUGGGAAGACGGUGGCCAACCUUCUUUCUGGGAAGUCUCCCAGGAAGUCAGCAGAGCCCUCAGCAAAUACUACGUUGGUCUCAGAAACUGAGGAGGAAGGCAGCGUCCCCGCCUUUGGAGCUGCUGCCAAGCCUGGGAUGGUGUCAGCGGGCCAGGCCGACAGCUCCAGCGAGGACACCUCCAGCUCCAGUGAUGAGACAGACGUGGAGGGGAAACCCUCAGUAAAACCAGCCCAGGUCAAAGCCUCAUCAGUUUCUACUAAGGAGUCUCCAGCAAGAAAGGCGGCCCCAGCCCCUGGGAAGGUGGGGAAUGUGACACUCCAGGUCAAAGGAGGGGCCCUGCCCCCAGCCAAGAGGGCCAAGAAGCCAGAAGAGGAGUCAGAGAGUAGUGAGGAGGGAUCUGAAAGUGAGGAGGAGGCCCCUGCAGGGACACCAAGCCAGGUAAAGGCCUCUGAAAAAAUUCUCCAGGUCAGAGCUGCCUCGGCCCCUGCCAAGGGGACCCCUGGGAAAGGGGCUACCCCAGCACCCCCUGGGAAGGCAGGGGCUGUAGCCUCCCAGACCAAGGCAGGGAAGCCAGAGGAGGACUCAGAGAGCAGCAGCGAGGAGUCGUCUGACAGUGAGGAGGAGACACCAGCUGCCAAGGCCCUGCUUCAGGCGAAGGCCUCAGGAAAAACCUCUCAGGUCGGAGCUGCCUCAGCGCCUGCCAAGGAGUCCCCCAGGAAAGGAGCUGCCCCAGCGCCCCCUGGGAAGACAGGGCCUGCAGUUGCCAAGGCCCAGGCAGGGAAGCGGGAGGAGGACUUGCAGAGCAGCAGCGAGGAUUCAGACAGUGAGGAGGAGGCGGCGCCUGCUCAGGUGAGGCAGAGAGGUGGGGUGGAGAGUAGCCCCAUGCCUAAACGCCAGCACCUGCAUGGGUGUGGCCACCUUUGCCACAUCCAGCUCCUGUCUCCACACGUCCACCCUCCGGGCUGUCCCCUCAUCCUGUUUCUCACUCCAGGCGAAGCCUUCAGGGAAGGCCUCCCAGGUCAGAGCCACCUCGGCCCUUGCCAAGGAGUCCCCCAGGAAAGGGGCUGCCCCAGCACCUCCUAGGAAAACAGGGCCUGCAGCCGCCCAGGUCCAGGCGGGGAAGCAGGAGGAGGACUCAGGAAGCAGCAGCGAGGAGUCAGACAGUGACAGAGAGGCACCGGCAGCCAUGAACGCAGCUCAGGUAAGGCUGGAAGCCGCCCUGCAUGGCCUGUGCCCUGCCUCAAAAGACCUCCUGUGGAUUUGAUUUUUCCUCUCUGAACCUAGAGCCCUGUGCAGCUGGCUUCGUUUGCUCUCCUCCCCUCACUCACGUUCUUCUUCUGGACUCCCUCCCUAAUCUUGUCCUUUGUGUCUCCCAGGUGAAGCCCUUGGGGAAAAGCCCCCAGGUGAAAUCUGCCUCCACCAUGGGCAUGGGGCCCUUGGGGAAAGGCACCGCCCCAGUGCCACCUGGGAAGGUGGGGCCUACAACCCCCUCAGCCCAGGUGGGGAAGUGGGAGGAGGAAUCAGAGAGCAGCAGUGAGGAGUCAUCAGACAGCAGUGAUGGAGAGGUGCCCACAGCUGUGGCCCCGGCUCAGGAAAAGUCCUUGGGGAAAAUCCUCCAGGCCAAACCCGCCUCCAGUCCUGCCAAGGGGCCCCCUCAGAAGGCAGGGCCUGUAGCCAUCCAGGUCAAGGCUGAAAAGCCCAUGGAAGACUCGGAGAGCAGCGAGGAGUCGUCGGACAGUGCGGACAGUGAGGAGGCACCAGCAGCCAUGACUGCAGCUCAGGUGAGGCCUGGAGAAGGAGGCUGCCACAUGGCCUGAUCUGCCACACAGUCAGCCCCCUGGGGAGCUGUGCUCCCUCAGGCAGAGCAUGGGUUCUGGCUGGUGGGGCAGAACAGUAGUGGGGAUCCACUUCAGAACAGAUGGGGGACUCUGAGUUCAGGAACCUUCUCCAGCCUUUCUUUGGUGUCCCCUCAGGCAAAACCAGCUCUGAAAAUUCCUCAGACCAAGGCCUGCCCAAAGAAAACCAAUACCACUGCAUCUGCCAAGGUUGCCCCUGUGCGAGUGGGCACGCAAGCCCCCCGGAAAGCAGGAACUGUGACUUCUCCAGCAGGCUCAUCCCCAGCUGUGGCUGGGGGCACCCAGAGACCAGCAGAGGAUUCUUCAAGCAGUGAGGAAUCAGAUAGUGAGGAAGAGAAGACAGGUCUUGCAGUAACCGUGGGACAGGCGAAGUCUGUGGGGAAAGGCCUCCAGGUGAAAGCGGCCUCAGUGCCUGUCAAGGGGUCCCUGGGGCAAGGGACUGCUCCAGUACUCCCUGGGAAGACGGGGCCUACAGUCACCCAGGUGAAAGCUGAGAUGCAGGAAGACUCUGAGAGCAGUGAGGAGGAAUCAGACAGUGAGGAGGCAGCUGCAUCUCCAGCACAGGUGAAAACCUCAGUAAAGAAAACCCAGGCCAAAGCCAACCCAGCUGCCGCCAGAGCAUCUUCAGCAAAAGGGACAAUUUCAGCCCCUGGAAAAGUUGUCACUGCAGCUGCUCAAGCCAAACAGAGGUCUCCAUCCAAGGUGAAGCCACCAGUGAGAAACCCCCAGAACAGUACCGUCUUGGCGAGGGGCCCAACAUGUGUGCCACCUGUGGGGAAGGCCGUGGCUACAGCAGUUCAGGCCCAGACAGGGCCAGAGGAGGACUCAGGGAGCAGUGAGGAGGAGUCAGACAGUGAGGAGGAGGCGGAGACGCCAGCUCAGGCGAAGCCUUCAGGGAAGACCCCCCAGAUCAGAGCUGCCUUGCCUCCUGCCAAGGAGUCCCCCAGGAAAGGGGCUGCCCCAACACCUCCUGGGAAGACAGGGCCUUCAGCUGCCCAGGCGGGGAAGCAGGAUGACUCAGGGAGCAGCAGCGAGGAGUCAGACAGUGAUGGGGAGGCACCAGCAGCUGUGACCUCUGCCCAGGUGAGACUUGCCAGGCUUCUGAGCCACCAACACUCACUCCUCAGAACGGGGGUAUAGGGCUGGGUGCGGUGGCUCACACCUGUAAUCCUAGCACUUUGGGAGGCCGAGGCAGAUGUAUCACUUGAGGUCAGGGGUUCAAGACCAGCCUGGCCAACAUGGUGAAACCCCGUCUCUACUAAAAAUAUAAAAAUUAGCUGGGCAUGGUGGCGGGUGCCUGUAAUCCCAGCUACUCGGGAGGCUGAGGCAGGAGAAUCCCUAGAACCUGGGAGGCGGAGGCUGCAGCAAGCCGAGAUCACGCCACUGCACUCCAGCCUGGGCGAUGAGAGUGAGACUGUCUCCAAAAAAAAAAAAAAAGGAAGAAAAGUGAAAAAGCAGGGUUUAGGGCCAGGUAAGGAAAAGGAAGGAAGGCCAGGUUAAGGUUAAGACUCCAGCUCCACCAUACCCUCCUCCCUCUGCUGUCAUCCACAUCUCCUUAGGUAAAACCUGCUACUAAAACCCCCCAAACGAAGACUUCCCUAGCUAAAAGUGUCCUGGGUCUAUAUCUAGGUCGAGGUCUCCACCAGCUCUAUAAGCUAGGCCAGUAUCUCCCACCAAGGCAUAUGAGACCAAGAAUCUACAUGUUAGUUAUUGUGCAUACGUUAACGUAAUACAAAAUGACUCUCCCUGUCAGAGUCCCAGGGAAGCUUGGAGUGUGGCACAGGUCCCCCUGAGGUCCUGGAGAGAUGGAGGAAGUCUCUUCCUGCACCUUGGCCCGGAGCCUCACAUAGGCAGGCGCAUCUUCUCAGGCAGGGCUUGUCUAGCUUAGUGCAAAGUCUGGACCCUGGAGAGUGGGGAGAAAAAAAAUCUGAACAAUUCCCUCUGUCUGCUUGCAGAAGAUAGCAGGGCUUGCUACAUCCUACAGAAGUGUAGGAUGACAAACUCCAGCACUGCCAGGGCACAGGUGUGUGAUGGACAUGACUGAUGCAGGCCUGGCAGAAAUGACAGAUGUCAGCCGGGUGCGGUGGCUCAAGCCUGUAAUCCCAGCACUUUGGGAGGCCAAGGCGGGCGAAUCAUGAGGUCAGGAGUUCGAGACCAGCCUGGCCAACAUGGUGAAACCCUGUCUCUACUAAAAAAAUACAAAAA